Non-coding RNA from Triticum aestivum (bread wheat), 126 nucleotides. The record is from Rfam. Lineage: Eukaryota; Viridiplantae; Streptophyta; Magnoliopsida; Poales; Poaceae.
UGGAUACUCCCUCCGUCCGAAAAAACUUGUCCCAAACGUGUUCCUCAAAUGGAUGUGUCUAGCAUUAACUUGGGGCUAGAUACAUCUAUUUGAGGGACAAGUUUUUUCAGACGAAGGGAGUACUUG